UCGUGCAGGUGGGUCCUUUGUCAAUCUAAAUUUCAAAGUUUUCUCGACUAUGCAAAUUAACUAUUGCAUCGUUUUAAACAUCAAAGUGCUCUUGCCUAAAUUUGCCUUUCUGAACUUUCCAAUGUAGGCUACACUUAUAAUUUUGCAAUUUAUAAAUCUGGCUGACGCUUUUUGUCCAACAAGUAGGCUACAUUUAAAAUGCUACUCUAGCACCUAAGAGCUGAAGAUAUGCAAAGUUACAGUCAAAUUAGUACCACCAUCGAGGUGCUUGUCUCAAGACCUGCAACAUAAAAAGGUGUACAGUAGAAGUGGAUUACUGAAGUGGAAGAAAAGGACGAAGGAACAGACCCUUGCCCAUCACCGCAACAUUAUCAGACAAUGCAGGAGGGCACGGGCUGGUAAAUCUGCGCACUGAAGGGUGUGAUGCCAGCCGAGGCUGCUCCCCUCUCUGCAGUCCACCAGCUGAGGUGCACGAUCGUUGAGAUGGAAGACUCAGCUCAGCAUGCAGCUAGUACUGGAAGAGUGCAGGUGGCUGACUGACCAGAGGAGUCCCACUGCCAAGCGAGGAUCCCGGCUGCAGUCAGCGCCGGUCUGGGCGGGAUUUGUUAGCACACGGUGGGGUGUGUCACAGCACCACGGACUGUAAUGGCUCAGCUGAGCAUCGCUCCCCAGAGGCCUCCCCGGCUUGCUUCUGACAUGGCAUUCAAGCAGGCCGAGAGGGAGCCAAGCAGACGUGAUGUUUACAGAGAUGCUGGGGAAGGAGGAAUUGGGGUGUUUUUUGUUUGUGUACAUUGGCAGGCAGCUUCCAUAAACAAACAGCGUGGCUGCAAAGGGCCUGUAUUUUGUUGCGUUGUGCG
Long non-coding RNA from Anguilla rostrata (American eel), 857 nucleotides. RefSeq lists it as uncharacterized. The record is from RefSeq and is a predicted model, not a curated record. NCBI's taxonomy places the organism in Eukaryota, Metazoa, Chordata, Actinopteri, Anguilliformes, Anguillidae. The transcript is spliced from 3 exons.